UCAUCUCAGGGGCUUGUCUUAAAAGCCCUGGGUCCAAAGUUGCCCUGAUUCUCUUGUUUUCACGGCUGGCUGCUCAGCUUUCUUCAGCCAAUCAUCACCGGCCAAUCAUUAUUCCCUGCGCAUUCCCUCCCUCCUCCUCCCCACCUCCUCGCUCUUCGGGCAUUAUCUCAAGUCAGCUCCUCCUGUUUCCACCAAAGAACUGUGACCCCGAAACUGAAAUCGGUGCGAGGGAGGACAUUGUAGGUCACCAUGCCCCUGGGAGGAAGGUCACCAGGGAAGUAACAGGCUCCGCGAGGUCACCGGGGAUUCACGGUCCUGAUACCUGGAACUGAACUGCUGAUCGAUGUGGUGUCUGCUUAUCUGAGGCCGCAGGGGAUGCGGGACAGGAGGGUGGCACACUGGUCCCCGUGGUGCUGGACAACUUGGCAGGGGGGCGCCGACACCCCUGGGCUCUCACCUCCCUGGGGGACGGCACUCCACAUUGGCUGUCGCAGCUGGAGUCCCAGAAAACCAGACUGGGAGGCUGAGUCUGCAGGUGGCUGAACAGACACGCAGCAGAAUUUAUAGUCACUUGGAAGUGGGAGGUGGUGGGGGGGGGGGUUAGUAGUGGGGUGUAGGGUGUUCCUUGAAAAAGUCUGGAAGCACAGUCACGUGGGAGCAUUUAGAGGACUCUUCCUGGAGGAAGCAGUUCCCACCGUGCCCCUGGGCCUGAGGCAGCGACCCUGCAAUGCCACCGGGGCCCUAAUGCCUUGUUCCUAACCACCACCCCCCCCCCACCCCGGUCUGGACACCCACCCAGGGCCUGAAAGGAGUGUGAGAAAGAAUAGCUUUAUCCAGAAGGAAAUGUAGGAAUUAUUAGCGUAUGCAAAAAUGCUGGGGAAUAUUGUGGGAAAUGCUUUGGGGACGCCCAACCAAGGAGCUGCCUUCUGGAGAACGAGCUGGCCCUGACCUGCUGUGGCUUAGUGCCCCACUGGUCUGCACGGGUAAAGCCUGACCGGAAGCAGUCGGAAGGUGCUGGACGCAGGCCAUUUGCACCAAAUACCUUCCAUCCUGGUGGGGGCGGGUUUGCCUUCAUUAAACCAGACUUUGGAUUUAGAUUUGCUUGCCUGCCCCACACCCGCGGGGUUCACGGAGGGCACCCCCACCCGCACCGCUGGGGACUCCCACAAAACAUGGAUUCUGACCACAGAAGUCACUUCGCGGCUGCAGGAGUAAGGCAGUGGACUUAGGCUGGUGGGGUCACUGCUCCCGCCACAUGGCUCCCUGUCUGGGGACAGCAGGUGUCAGAAGAGACUCCUGAGGCCCAGGUGCCCUGAAGGAAGGUUUUUGGCCGUCCUCUCAGAAGCGGAAGCCAAACCAGCCAAGAAGGGGCCAAAGUGUGCAGGUUGUAGAAAUUUGCACUAGGAGCGCGACAGAAUGAGGGAAGGAAUAUCCAUCACGCAGCAGGUGCACAAGCCAGGGGAGCAUUUGGGAUUCUGCGCGAAGACCAGGUCGUAGGCCACCCCUGCGUGGAAGAGAAAGAAGGUGAACUGGUCGGGCCAGAGAGGAACCUGGAAAAAAAUGGAGGGCGAGAGGGGUGAGCAGUUUGCCCAAGUGGGGUCACCCUGGCUCUCGGGGAUGCUGCCCAAAGGGAUGGUGGGCAGAGGCAGGGCUGGGGGUCCCUCCCCAGGUAUCCUAGCUCCUGGCUCCAGGCCACUGCCCCCUCCCACCAUAUGACUCCCGGGGCAGAGCUCUGGACGCUGCCCACCUGGACGGAAUCCAGGUUCUGCUCCCUGCCUUUCCGAGUCUCCACUGUUUCAUCUGUGAAAUGGGAGUCAUCACGGGCACCAUCAUGCCGAGGGGUAGCAUGCCCAGUGCCUCAGCGCAGCCCAUCCGGGCCCCGUGUGCCCCCACACUGCCCCAAACCUCCUCCUCCCGGGGCUUUGCAGCUGACUGCCCUGGGACCGCCCUGGGACUGCGGACACAAGGCCCCCACAGG
This is a long non-coding RNA of Acinonyx jubatus (cheetah), 1978 nucleotides long. RefSeq lists it as uncharacterized. The transcript is spliced from 3 exons. Lineage: Eukaryota; Metazoa; Chordata; Mammalia; Carnivora; Felidae. The record is from RefSeq and is a predicted model, not a curated record.